UCGAGGGGCAUCAGUUUGGUUUGCUUGCAACCAAAGCUGGCGACCGGCGCACGGGUGAGUAACACGUAUCCAACCUGCCUCAUACUCGGGGAUAGCCUUUCGAAAGAAAGAUUAAUAUCCGAUAGCAUAUAUUUCCCGCAUGGGUUUUAUAUUAAAGAAAUUCGGUAUGAGAUGGGGAUGCGUUCCAUUAGUUUGUUGGCGGGGUAACGGCCCACCAAGACUACGAUGGAUAGGGGUUCUGAGAGGAAGGUCCCCCACAUUGGAACUGAGACACGGUCCAAACUCCUACGGGAGGCAGCAGUGAGGAAUAUUGGUCAAUGGACGCGAGUCUGAACCAGCCAAGUAGCGUGAAGGAUGACUGCCCUAUGGGUUGUAAACUUCUUUUAUAUGGGAAUAAAGUGGUCCACGUGUGGAUUUUUGUAUGUACCAUAUGAAUAAGGAUCGGCUAACUCCGUGCCAGCAGCCGCGGUAAUACGGAGGAUCCGAGCGUUAUCCGGAUUUAUUGGGUUUAAAGGGAGCGUAGGCGGAUUGUUAAGUCAGUUGUGAAAGUUUGCGGCUCAACCGUAAAAUUGCAGUUGAUACUGGCAGUCUUGAGUGCAGUAGAGGUGGGCGGAAUUCGUGGUGUAGCGGUGAAAUGCUUAG
Molecule: ribosomal RNA, 642 nt
Filed under: uncultured bacterium
Lineage: Bacteria
Description: bacterial SSU rRNA
Rfam family: Bacterial small subunit ribosomal RNA
Source: RNAcentral